GUCUACAGUCAUAACACCCUGAAUAUGCCCAAUCUAGUCUGAUCUUGGAAUCCAAGUAGGUUCAGGCCUGGUUAGUACUUGAAUGGGAGAAAAUAUUACAAACUACUUUACACA
Molecule: ribosomal RNA, 114 nt
Filed under: Carlito syrichta (Philippine tarsier)
Lineage: Eukaryota; Metazoa; Chordata; Mammalia; Primates; Tarsiidae
Source: RNAcentral